This 505-nucleotide ribosomal RNA is filed under the name uncultured bacterium. Its description in RNAcentral is "partial 16S ribosomal RNA". It matches the Rfam family "Bacterial small subunit ribosomal RNA", at positions 28 to 507 of the family's 1533-position model. The record is from RNAcentral.
GACGAACGCUGGCGGCGUGCCUAAUACAUGCAAGUAGAACGCACAGUUUAUACCGUAGCUUGCUACACCAUAAACUGUGAGUUGCGAACGGGUGAGUAACGCGUAGGUAACCUGCCUGGUAGCGGGGGAUAACUAUUGGAAACGAUAGCUAAUACUGCAUAAUAUUGAUUAUUGCAUGAUAAUUGAUUGAAAGAUGCUAUUGCAUCACUACCAGAUGGACCUGCGUUGUAUUAGCUAGUAGGUGAGGUAACGGCUCACCUAGGCGACGAUACAUAGCCGACCUGAGAGGGUGAUCGGCCACACUGGGACUGAGACACGGCCCAGACUCCUACGGGAGGCAGCAGUAGGGAAUCUUCGGCAAUGGACGAAAGUCUGACCGAGCAACGCCGCGUGAGUGAAGAAGGUUGUCGGAUCGUAAAGCUCUGUUGUAAGAGAAGAACGGGUGUGAGAGUGGAAAGUUCACACUGUGACGGUAUCUUACCAGAAAGGGACGGCUAACUACGUG